RNAcentral lists this ribosomal RNA (399 nucleotides) under uncultured bacterium. RNAcentral's name for it is "bacterial SSU rRNA". It matches the Rfam family "Bacterial small subunit ribosomal RNA", at positions 358 to 773 of the family's 1533-position model. The record is from RNAcentral.
GGAAUCUUAGACAAUGGGCGCAAGCCUGAUCUAGCCAUGCCGCGUGAGCGAUGAAGGCCUUAGGGUUGUAAAGCUCUUUCACCGGGGAAGAUAAUGACGGUACCCGCAGAAGAAGCCCCGGCUAACUCCGUGCCAGCAGCCGCGGUAAUACGGAGGGGGCUCGCGUUGUUCGGAAUUACUGGGCGUAAAGGGCGCGCAGGCGGCUGCUCAAGUCAGGCGUGAAAGGCCUGGGCUCAACCCGGGAAUUGCGCUUGAGACUGAGCUGGCUUGAGUGCGGGAGAGGAUGGUGGAAUUCCCAGUGUAGAGGUGAAAUUCGUAGAUAUUGGGAAGAACACCGGUGGCGAAGGCGGCCAUCUGGACCGUAACUGACGCUGAGGCGCGAAAGCGUGGGGAGCAAAC